UUCCACAGCGAAAGCGUUAAGUAAUCCACCUGGGGAGUACGCCGGCAACGGUGAAACUCAAAGGAAUUGACGGGGGCCCGCACAAGCGGAGGAACAUGUGGUUUAAUUCGAUGAUACGCGAGGAACCUUACCCGGGAUUGAAAUGUAGACGACGGAUGGUGAAAGCCGUCUUCCCUUCGGGGCGUCUAUGUAGGUGCUGCAUGGUUGUCGUCAGCUCGUGCCGUGAGGUGUCGGCUUAAGUGCCAUAACGAGCGCAACCCACAUCGGUA
Molecule: ribosomal RNA, 269 nt
Filed under: Porphyromonas gulae
Lineage: Bacteria; Pseudomonadati; Bacteroidota; Bacteroidia; Bacteroidales; Porphyromonadaceae
Description: partial 16S ribosomal RNA
Rfam family: Bacterial small subunit ribosomal RNA
Source: RNAcentral